AUUGAACGCUGGCGGCGUGCCUAACACAUGCAAGUCGAGCGGUAACAGGUGUAGCAAUACAUGCUGACGAGCGGCGGACGGGUGAGUAACGCUUGGGAAUCUGCCUGUUAGUGGGGGACAACCCGGGGAAACUCGGGCUAAUACCGCAUACGCACUACGGUGGAAAGCCGGGGACCGCAAGGCCUGGCGCUAACAGAUGAGCCCAAGUCGGAUUAGCUAGUUGGUAGGGGUAACGGCCACCAAGGCGACGAUCCGUAACCUGGUCUGAGAGGACGACCAGUCACACCGGAACUGAGACACGGUCCGGACUCCUACGGGAGGCAGCAGUGGGGAAUAUUGGACAAUGGGCGAAAGACCUGAUCCAGCGACGCCGCGUGGGUGAAGAAGGCC
RNAcentral lists this ribosomal RNA (390 nucleotides) under uncultured bacterium. Its description in RNAcentral is "bacterial SSU rRNA". It matches the Rfam family "Bacterial small subunit ribosomal RNA", at positions 29 to 416 of the family's 1533-position model. The record is from RNAcentral.